This is a non-coding RNA of Sus scrofa (pig), 2451 nucleotides long. The record is from RefSeq and is a predicted model, not a curated record. NCBI's taxonomy places the organism in Eukaryota, Metazoa, Chordata, Mammalia, Artiodactyla, Suidae.
AGAAAAAAGGCAAAAAGACAGAAAGCAAAAACAAAAACCAAAAAAACCCACAAAAAUGUAUUCACUCUGGCUGCAGGUAGAGGCCAGAAGUCUGAACCAGGGCGUAAGGCCUGUGCUCCCGCUCCCUCCGGAGGCCCAGGGGAGAAUUCGUUCCUUGGCGCUCCCAGCUUCUGGUGGCUGCUGGCAUUCCUUGGCAGGUGGCCCCAUCUCUCCAGUCUCUGCCUCUGUUUUCACAUGGAUUUCCCUCUGUCUCUCCUGUGAGGGCAUUUGUGAUGGCAUCAAGGGCCCACCCAAUAAUCAAGGCCAUUUAGUCUCGAGAUUCUUCAAUUGCAGAGAUGCUCUUUCUAUAUAAGGAGACAUUUACAGGUUCCAGGGUGAGACCUGUUUUCCUUGGGGCCACUAUUCAGACUAUUACAGGAUUCAAGAGGAUGAACUCUGGAGCCAGACUAGGUGGGUUCAGGCCCCAGUGCGGGUCUCCUACUCUCAGGAUGGUCUUCAGCAAGUGUCUUGAUUCUUAGUGCCUCCAUUUUCUGAUCUGUAAAGUGGCAAUAACAGUAUUACCUGCCUAAGGAUGAAAAGGGUUAAUAUAUGCAAAGCACCUAAUAAGCUUAGGACACUGCGUGGCCCAUCUGAGGAAUAGCUAUUAUUGUAGUGGUUGCUUUUAUUAGAGAUUCUUUGUAAAAUGUCAUUUAAAUAGCUACAUAAAACUUUAUUCAUGACUCUAACAUAGCUUGUUUAAUCAUUUCUUUUUGUUGGCUAAAUUACUUUCAAAUUUUUCGUCUCAUAUAUAACACCACCAUGGAUACCAUUGUGCAUUAAGUUUUGUCCCUAUUUCAGAUGUAUUGCCUAGUGUAGAGUUCUGAAAAUAAUUACAACCUCAAAGAGUGCAAACAAUUUUUAGCCAUUUAGUAAGAAAUUGCCAAAUGGCUCCCAGAAAGAUCAUGCUUGUUGUACUCCUGCCAGUAGCUGAAUGAUGAGAAUGCCUGUUUUGCUGUGGCCGUACCUGCAUGGACUGUUACCAUUUUAAACAUUCUUUGGUAUUUUGACGUGGCUGAAAUGUGACAUAGCAAAGGGACCCAACCUAGUACUUGCUUUAACAGGGAGUGUUCUUACAAGUCAAGAAAACUUGAUGAGAAAUGAGAUCUUUGCUUUGUCAAGUUUCCAAGUACCUCCUCCAUCCUGUUAUGAAGCCUGGAAACUUCCUGAAUGUUCUCAAGGUUACAGGGCUGGGUAUUAGGGGAGAGGGCAUAUGAGUAGCAGGACAGUGCUUGGUACACGAGGGUUUUAAUAAAACAACUUUGUUUCUGUUCUCAAACUUGGACAUUGAAAGCUCUGAGCAUUUGAUGGGGUGAGGGAGGCACACUUGAACCAAAAAAACAAAUCAGUGUAAUCAGUUUACAACUAAAGGCAUUUAGGGGGCGGGAAGAUAGGACAGGGAGGGAGCAGUUCCUGCCAGAUAAGGUGGGAGGCCAGCCUAGGGAAGGGCUGAGGGAACAGUCACACCUGCCUCUCGCACCCCUGCCACCUGUCAGCCUCCUUUCCUUUCCUGGGGGUGCCCGUUGCAGUCCGGUCUUGCCCAGCCUGGGCCUCUGGGCUGCAGAGGAAGAGCUGGGGUCCCAGGAAUAAUCCAGGUCGCCUUCACUGGAAAUCAGUUUGCUGAAACUAUUGAUACGCAGUUCUUAACGCUGAAGAAAAGGAGGUCCUGCGCCUUGACCACACAAGCGUGGCCCUUCCUCCAGACCCCCGCUCCGGACGCGCCCACCUAGCGUCUCCCAGGAACCAUGCGGCAGCUCAAGGGGAAGCCCAAGAAGGAGACGUCCAAGGACAAGAAGGAGCGGAAGCAGGCCAUGCAGGAGGCCCGGCAGCAGAUCACCACCGUGGUGCUGCCCACGCUGGCCGUGGUCGUGGUCCUGAUCGUGGUGUUUGUGUACGUGGCCACGCGCCCCACCAUCACCGAGUGAGGGCCCGCCCCGAGGGAGGAGGCUCGGGAGGGGAGAGCAGAAGAAGGGCCUUCAUCCGCUGCGAUUUUCCUGAUGCCGAGCUCUGAGCAGGAGCCCCCGUCUCCUCUGGUCUGUGACUUGAUUAAAGGUUCUCCACUUUUCUCGGGAGGGAAUAGGAAACGUUUUAUCAGUGAACGUGCCAUACACCUUAUGGUCCACUUCAUGUGCCUUUCAGACUUCAAAGCCGUGUGUGUGUGUGUGUGUGUGUGUGUGUGUGUUUCUCGCCUGCAAUCGAUGUGUAGCCCCACCUGGUGAGAGGAGGCGUCUCUGGGUCACGGAUCAGUUGGAAUCAGUGCUCACCCCAUCCCCGUUGUUUUGAACAUGACUUUCCUACACGUGUUCACAAUUUCCAAAGGGACUGUGUUUCUUCUCUGUGCUUCAUGUGAUUUGAAAUAUGUCGACUCAGAAGUGAAAUAUUUAUUUUUUGAAUAAAGGAGAUGAUAGCCUUAAA